This is a non-coding RNA of Paraglaciecola psychrophila 170, 131 nucleotides long. Lineage: Bacteria; Pseudomonadati; Pseudomonadota; Gammaproteobacteria; Alteromonadales; Alteromonadaceae. The record is from Rfam.
CCAUCCGUGUUGCCGGAUGAAUCAACAAGCUUGAAUAAAGAGCAGCUUGCACAAUGUAGCGAAGUGCGACAAAGCACGGGGUAUAAAUCGCGAGAAGCAUAUCUUCCUGGUAACCACUACCGGGUAAGCGC